Macrosteles quadrilineatus (aster leafhopper) is the source of this 352-nucleotide long non-coding RNA. RefSeq lists it as uncharacterized. The transcript has 2 exons. The record is from RefSeq and is a predicted model, not a curated record. NCBI's taxonomy places the organism in Eukaryota, Metazoa, Arthropoda, Insecta, Hemiptera, Cicadellidae.
UAGAAGGAAGUAAAGCUCUCGAAAGCAAAGACAGUAAAGGAAAAAGUGACCUUGAGAAGCUAUUUCCCUCUUCACCGUCCUGCUUGGCUGGAAAAACUGCGGUGAACAUUUGGUUGGCUAAGGCGGAGAGCAAGAAGAUGAAUUGUGAAGUGAAAAACAAGCCGUUCAAAGAGGAGAGAUGUGGAGUCUACAGAGGACCCGGGGGUGACGAAGACUUCUAAGUAAAACUUAGAACAUUUCUUGACACACUAUUAUAAAAUACAUUUUACGAAAUUUGUCAAGUGUGGACAGCCAAAAACGUGCUGAUUGGAUUAAUUUUGGAUUAAACCAGAUGAUGUUUUGUCCCUUUUUA